This 253-nucleotide ribosomal RNA is filed under the name uncultured bacterium. Its description in RNAcentral is "partial 16S ribosomal RNA". It matches the Rfam family "Bacterial small subunit ribosomal RNA", at positions 524 to 776 of the family's 1533-position model. The record is from RNAcentral.
AACGUAGGAGACAAGCGUUAUCCGGAGUUACUGGGCGUAAAGGGCGUGCAGGCGGAUGACUAAGACAGGUGUGAAAGCCUCUGGCUCAACCGGGGGAGGCCACCUGUGACUGGUGAUCUAGAGGGCGGCGGAGGGGUGUGGAAUUCCGGGUGUAGUGGUGAAAUGCGUAGAGAUCCGGAGGAACACCAGAGGCGAAGGCGGCACUCUAAGCCGCACCUGACGCUGAGACGCGACAGCACGGGGAGCGAACGGG